Molecule: long non-coding RNA, 284 nt
Filed under: Lathyrus oleraceus (garden pea)
Lineage: Eukaryota; Viridiplantae; Streptophyta; Magnoliopsida; Fabales; Fabaceae
Description: Pisum sativum (pea) long non-coding RNA (PSAT_LNC009923)
Source: RNAcentral
GAUGCCAAGGUAUGAUCCCAAAGCUAAUGCAUAUGAUGAAGUAGCAUGAGGGAUCUUAGGGUCAAAAUUGGGGUCUUACAAUAUGAUAUAAAUUAUAGGAGAUAGGGUCUAGGGAACCCCAGAUUUGAUCAGAUGAAUUCCUCUAGUCAACCACAAUCAACCAUCUUGCUAGCUUGCAAUUCUCUUGACUCUUGGGACACAUGGAGGAUCAUAUAAGCAUAAGAUAAUGAAAUUUGAAGUAUCCCUUGAAAUAUUUGAUCAAUUAUUGAAGAAGCUUGUUCAAG